GUCCCGCUGGCGCAAUGGUGAGAAUAUACCAAUCCAAUUCUCCCUUUUCUAUCACUAAUACCCAUCAAAAGGUAGCGCGUUAGACUUCUAAUCUAAAGGUUGUGGGUUCGAGUCCCACGCGGGAUG
This 126-nucleotide transfer RNA is filed under the name Endocarpon pusillum. Its description in RNAcentral is "tRNA-Arg (TCT) (tRNA-Arg-TCT-1-1)". The stretch from base 73 to 118 matches the Rfam family "tRNA", at positions 8 to 63 of the family's 71-position model. The record is from RNAcentral. Lineage: Eukaryota; Fungi; Ascomycota; Eurotiomycetes; Verrucariales; Verrucariaceae.